This 220-nucleotide unclassified non-coding RNA is filed under the name Hevea brasiliensis (rubber tree). Lineage: Eukaryota; Viridiplantae; Streptophyta; Magnoliopsida; Malpighiales; Euphorbiaceae. The record is from RNAcentral.
CAGAAAUUCCCAAUGGAGGUAAGGACCCGUCACAGAACAUUUUAACCAAGUCACAUCUUAAUGUAGUGUGGUUUUAGGUCUUGUGAGGGUAGAAAAGCACUCAGAAUUUAUGGAAACUGCAUUUAUUUAAGACUGGCUUCCAGAAUUGCUUUAAUUUAUAUUCUGACUUCCCAUUUUACCUUCUUUGGACUAAAGGCAUAACAAGCACACAAAAAGAAAG